GGUUGCGAUCAUACCAGCAUUAAUGCACCGGAUCCCAUCAGAACUCCGCAGUUAAGCGUGCUUGGGCGAGAGUAGUACUAGGAUAGGUGACCCCCUGGGAAGUCCUCGUGUUGAAACCC
Molecule: ribosomal RNA, 119 nt
Filed under: Helianthus annuus (common sunflower)
Lineage: Eukaryota; Viridiplantae; Streptophyta; Magnoliopsida; Asterales; Asteraceae
Source: RNAcentral